This 253-nucleotide ribosomal RNA is filed under the name uncultured bacterium. Its description in RNAcentral is "partial 16S ribosomal RNA". It matches the Rfam family "Bacterial small subunit ribosomal RNA", at positions 524 to 776 of the family's 1533-position model. The record is from RNAcentral.
UACGUAGGGUGCGAGCGUUAAUCGGAAUUACCGGGCGUAAAGCGUGCGCAGGCGGUUUUGUAAGCCAGAUGUGAAAUCCCCGGGCUUAACCUGGGAAUGGCAUUUGGGACUGCAAGGCUUGAGUGCGGCAGAGGAGACUGGAAUUCCCGGUGUAGCAGUGAAAUGCGUAGAUAUCGGGAGGAAUACCGAUGGCGAAGGCAGGUCUCUGGGCUGACACUGACGCUCAUGCACGAAAGCGUGGGGAGCAAACAGG